This 981-nucleotide ribosomal RNA is filed under the name uncultured bacterium. RNAcentral's name for it is "bacterial SSU rRNA". It matches the Rfam family "Bacterial small subunit ribosomal RNA", at positions 8 to 1034 of the family's 1533-position model. The record is from RNAcentral.
AGAGUUUGAUCAUGGCUCAGAACGUACGCUGGCGGCACGCCUAACACAUGCAAGUCGAACGCAGUAGCAAUACUGAGUGGCAGACGGGUGAGUAACAUGUGGGAAUCUGCCUUGUGGUUCAGGACAACAUUGGGAAACCGAUGCUAAUACUGGAUAAGCCCUUACGGGGAAAGUUUUAAUGCCACAAGAUGAGCCCGCAUUUGAUUAGUUAGUUGGUGAGGUAAUGGCUCACCAAGACAAUGAUCAAUAGCUGAUCUGAGAGGAUGAUCAGCCACACUGGGACUGAGACACGGCCCAGACUCCUACGGGAGGCAGCAGUGGGGAAUCUUGCACAAUGGAGGAAACUCUGAUGCAGCGAUGCCGCGUGAGUGAAGAAGGCCUUUGGGUUGUAAAGCUCUUUUGUAGGGGAAGAUAAUGACUGUACCCUAAGAAUAAGGUCCGGCUAACUUCGUGCCAGCAGCCGCGGUAAUACGAAGGGACCUAGCGUAGUUCGGAAUUACUGGGCGUAAAGCGCGCGUAGGCCGUUGAGUUAGUUAAUUGUGAAAUCCCAAAGCUUAACUUUGGAACUGCAAUUAAAACUGCUCGACUAGAGUUUGAUAGAGGAAAGCGGAAUACAUAGUGUAGAGGUGAAAUUCGUAGAUAUUAUGUAGAACACCAGUUGCGAAGGCGGCUUUCUGGGUCAACACUGACGCUGAGGCGCGAAAGUAUGGGUAGCAAAGAGGAUUAGAUACCCUCGUAGUCCAUACCAUAAACGAUGAUUGCUAGAUGUUGGAAAUUUAUUUUCAGUAUCGCAGCUAACGCAUUAAGCAAUCCGCCUGGGGAGUACGACCGCAAGGUUAAAACUCAAAUGAAUUGACGGGGACCCGCACAAGCGGUGGAGCAUGUGGUUUAAUUCGAAGAUACGCGCAGAACCUUACCAACCCUUGACAUGUCUGUCGCGAGUUUAGGAAACUAGACUUUUCGGUUCGGCCGGACAGAACA